UAGGGUAUCUUCCGCAAUGGACGAAAGUCUGACGGAGCAACGCCGCGUGAGUGAAGAAGGUUUUCGGUUCGUAACACUCUGUUGUUAGGGAAGAAAAAAUGUAUAGUAACUAUAUACAAAAGAGACGGUACCUAACCAGAAAGCCACGGCUAACUACGUGCCAGCAGCCGCGGUAAUACGUAGGUGGCAAGCGUUGUCCGGAAUUAUUGGGCGUAAAGCGCGCGCAGGUGGUUUAGAAAGUCUGAUGUGAAAGCCCACGGCUCAACCGUGGAGGGUCAUUGGAAACUAAUAAACUUGAGUGCAGGAGAGAAAAGUGGAAUUCCUAGUGUAGCGGUGAAAUGCGUAGAGAUUAGGGGGAACACCGGUGGCGAAAGCGGCUUUUUGGCCUGCAACUGACACUGAGGGGCGAAAGCGUGGGGAGCAAACAGG
RNAcentral lists this ribosomal RNA (429 nucleotides) under Verrucomicrobiota bacterium. Its description in RNAcentral is "Verrucomicrobia bacterium partial 16S ribosomal RNA". It matches the Rfam family "Bacterial small subunit ribosomal RNA", at positions 355 to 776 of the family's 1533-position model. The record is from RNAcentral. Lineage: Bacteria; Pseudomonadati; Verrucomicrobiota.